UACGAAGGGUCCAAGCGUUAUCCGGAUUUAUUGGGCUUAAAGGGUGCGUAGGCGGCUUAUUAAGUCAGUGGUGAAAGCCUGUAGCUCAACUACAGAACUGCCAUUGAUACUGAUGAGCUUGAAUAUACUUGAGGUUGGCGGAAUGUGUCAUGUAGCGGUGAAAUGCUUAGAUAUGACACAGAACACCGAUUGCGAAGGCAGCUAGCUAAAGUACAAUUGACGCUGAUGCACGAAAGCGUGGGGAGCAAACAGG
RNAcentral lists this ribosomal RNA (253 nucleotides) under uncultured bacterium. RNAcentral's name for it is "partial 16S ribosomal RNA". It matches the Rfam family "Bacterial small subunit ribosomal RNA", at positions 524 to 776 of the family's 1533-position model. The record is from RNAcentral.